Molecule: long non-coding RNA, 1874 nt
Filed under: Homo sapiens (human)
Lineage: Eukaryota; Metazoa; Chordata; Mammalia; Primates; Hominidae
Description: HSALNT0360147
Source: RNAcentral
GUAACUAGGGACAAGUUAAUUGACUCCUCUUAGCCCUUAGUGUCCUCAUCAAUUAUUACGUGGUAAUAACCCCUCAGAGAGUCGCCGGGAGAAUUAGCUCGGCGCGGUGCAUGGGGCUAGAACUCAGGGCCCAGCAGGUCUGACAAUGCAGGUUUCCCCGCUCGCCUGUUGGGUUUUUGAAACGCCCUCAGCGGGGUUUUCCUCCUAAUUCUGGUUUGGAGGAGCCAUCUCUCUCCAUCCCGUCUGCCAGCGGGGUUUGCUUCACACACAGACGUGGGCAGAUGGCAUCGGGGACACAGCACAGCGCUUGCCCCCAGCGGCCUGGCGUCGGGCUGGAGCCCGGCAGAGGGAGGGAGGAGACCGGCAUCCGCGCUCGCUGAUCAGAGAGAGCCGGGCCUGCUGCUGGGGAACGUGGAGGGGCUCCGGACAGCCACGCGCCCUGGCCGGUCACGGAAAGCUCUGAGGGACAUUCGGUCGGCCGUCGGGGAAGAGGCUGGCCGCCGCAGCGCGAACUGGGGGUGCGGGUGGAGCGGCUAGAGGCGCCGGGGGAAACCUGACCUUAGAGGAAAUGGAAAAGUUGGAGAGACACUGAGCACUGAUACGAAAUAAUUCUCUUGCUGAAAUACACGAAAGGAGUCCCAGCAGCCAUAUUAGUAUUUCCACGUCCUGUGUCAGCCCCAAGUAGAGAGAACUUGGAAUGGGAGGGGAAAUGGCAGCCAUCAGGAAAUGAAAUGCUGGCCCAGAGAAUUCUAAGCAAGUCAAUCACCAGUCCAACUCUUCCGAAAACUUCCUUGUUUUGCCUUUUCAAACAUCAGGGGCGUGACUUAUAACAGCCAAAUUUUGCCAGCAUGCUGUGUCAUGGGUUCCAGUCCGUGGAGCUCCGUCAUACUCUGUUGGGCAUCCUGUGUCUUAUUCCUCUCUUUAGGUCCAGUUUCUACAUACCUUAUCUGUGUUAUCUCAGGCUUCAGAAGCUUCUCCGUAACGUGGGCUACUUUCCCCUCAUCACUGGGUAUUUAUUUAUUUAUUUUUACUGAAGCCUGAGCCCUGUAACGUUACCACACUGGCCACAGCUUCAGGAGAGAGAUCACUGCUCUCAAGAACUUACAGUCUAGUGAUGGAUACAAAGGUACAUGAAAAAAUAACUAGCAAUGGAAAACAAAGCAUGAAAUGCGAUGAAACGUGGUCAGGAUGCUAAGUGCUAUGACAUAUCACACUCGGAACCUCACUUUGCUCAUAUGAAAAGCUGGAGAGAAUCUUCCCAAGCUUAGCACAUCCUCAUAGGAUUUUGGUGAAAAUCAGAUGAGAUGGUAGGUAUGGAAGAUUUCUGUCAACUACAAGUCAAUUACGCCAAAAAAUUAAGAGGUCUUGUCAAAUCAUAAAAUUAACAGAAUUAUUAUUAAACCUUAAGAGGGCACUUGAGAUAAUAAAUGCCAGAUUUAGUAGCAUGGUAGUAUCAUUCUAUCUGGGGUGGGGGCAGGAGGGAGGGAGUGCCAUAGGAAUGGGUACACAGAGGGCCUUCAAUUCCAUUGGUGUGCUGUGUGUCUUAUGCUCAGUGGUGGUUAUACAAAUGUUUGUCAUCUCAUUCUAUAAAUUUUGGUGGAUAUUAAAUAUUAUAACAUAUAUAGUUUGGUUAUUGAGGUUUUUUGUUUGUUUGUUUUUGUUUUGAGAUAGAGUCUUGUUCUGUUGUCUAGGCUGGAGAGCAGUGGCACAAUCUUGGCUCACUGCAACCUCCACCUCCCAGGUUCAAGCAAUCCUCCUACCUCAGCCUCCUAAGUAGCUGGGAUUACAGAUGCCCGCCACCAUGCCCAGCUAAUUUUUUAUUUUUACUAGAGACGAGGUUUCACCAUGUUGGCUAGACUGGUCUCCAACUCUUG